AGGAAAAUAGUUUAAUUGGUAAAAUAAUAGUCUCCAAAAUUAUUGUUGUUGGUUCAAGUCCUAAUUUUUCCUG
Molecule: transfer RNA, 73 nt
Filed under: Globisporangium ultimum DAOM BR144
Lineage: Eukaryota; Oomycota; Peronosporomycetes; Pythiales; Pythiaceae
Description: tRNA EPrPULG00000000011
Rfam family: tRNA
About the family: Transfer RNA (tRNA) molecules are approximately 80 nucleotides in length. Their secondary structure includes four short double-helical elements and three loops (D, anti-codon, and T loops).
Source: RNAcentral